Molecule: ribosomal RNA, 200 nt
Filed under: uncultured Proteus sp.
Lineage: Bacteria; Pseudomonadati; Pseudomonadota; Gammaproteobacteria; Enterobacterales; Morganellaceae
Description: partial 16S ribosomal RNA
Rfam family: Bacterial small subunit ribosomal RNA
Source: RNAcentral
GCAACUGGUUGGCUAGAGUCUUGUAGAGGGGGGUAGAAUUCCAUGUGUAGCGGUGAAAUGCGUAGAGAUGUGGAGGAAUACCGGUGGCGAAGGCGGCCCCCUGGACAAAGACUGACGCUCAGGUGCGAAAGCGUGGGGAGCAAACAGGAUUAGAUACCCUGGUAGUCCACGCUGUAAACGAUGUCGAUUUAGAGGUUGUG